GGGUACAAAAACAAAAAAAAAAAAAGAAAAAAAAACCCAAACAGAGAAUGUUGUGGAAAAUACAAGACAGAAAACGAUAACUAAGAACAUGACUACUUAAUCCUGUUGUAGGAUUCAAGGAUUGGGUCACAACACCACUCCCGCCAAUUAAAAGUCCCCUUUCGAUUCCGUGCAUUUAUCCAUAAAUGAGCCAGCGAUUUUAUUUCGAUAGCCAAUGCCGAAUUAGAUUUUGAACCUGUACUUGGAGCAUGAAGUGUUUGGUUUCGAUAGUUCCAUAUCACCCAAAGGUACACCAACAUUAUACAUUAUGAAACAAAAAGAAGUUAAAAUACAUAGAGAAGGACGCACCUUCAAAUUAAAAUAUAGUCAUCCGUGUAGAGGCGUAGGAUUAGAGAGAUGACGGGCCAAUAGGAGCCUCCUAUACUAGUCUUUUUUUUUUUUUUUUUUUUUCCAGAUUUGGGCAUUCACUAAUCCCCAAACUCAAAAGUGAAGGCAACAACUUUGCUGGUAGAUCCAUCAUCUUUGGGCACUUGUCAAAGCUGAGAUGCUGGAGAGAGGUGAGGUGUUG
RNAcentral lists this long non-coding RNA (568 nucleotides) under Lactuca sativa (garden lettuce). RNAcentral describes it as "long non-coding RNA (LSAT_LNC008349)". The record is from RNAcentral. Lineage: Eukaryota; Viridiplantae; Streptophyta; Magnoliopsida; Asterales; Asteraceae.